Podarcis lilfordi (Lilford's wall lizard) is the source of this 77-nucleotide non-coding RNA. The record is from the annotation of a GenBank genome assembly. NCBI's taxonomy places the organism in Eukaryota, Metazoa, Chordata, Lepidosauria, Squamata, Lacertidae.
GUCUUGUAGCAGCACAAUGGGUCAGUGCAUCUGACUGCUAACCAGAAGGUUGCUGGUUCCAGCCCAACCCUGGGACG